This 1167-nucleotide long non-coding RNA is filed under the name Betta splendens (Siamese fighting fish). RNAcentral describes it as "lncRNA (ENSBSLG00000022675.1)". Lineage: Eukaryota; Metazoa; Chordata; Actinopteri; Anabantiformes; Osphronemidae. The record is from RNAcentral.
AUGCAUGAAAAGCAUUGCCAUACUCUACAAACAAAUCCACAGCUACCUCAUGUAUGUGGUGUUAAGCGUUCAUGUUCAUUGAAUUCUCUGAAAUAUUUUCACACAAUUGAUAAUUUUUCUGUUGACAUAAUGCAUGAUAUUCUUGAAGGAGUUGCACAGUUUGAAGUGAAACUUAUCUUGGAGUAUUUGCAGAAGAACAUCUUGACUUCAAAACAGUUAGCACGUAGAAUAGAGUCAUUCAACUAUGGUUACACUGAGAGGAGAAAUCGCCCACCUGCAGUUAAGUUAAAUGAUGGAAGUAAUGAUUUGGGCCUGAAUGCCAUCCAGUCGUGGUGUUUGUUGCGCAACAUGCCAUUAAUAUUUGGUGAUUUAAUAGAGAGCGACAAUGAAUACUGGCAUCUUUUACUGUUGCUUGAGCAGAUAGUGGAUAUUGUUUUCUCUCCAGUCAUAACAUAUGGCAUGACCAUCUUUUUGAAGCACAUAAUUGUUGACCAUCACCGGCUUUUUAAGCACCUGUUUCCUGAUAGAAAUCUCUUGCCUAAGCAUCACUUUAUGUUACACUAUCCUAGAUGUAUAAGGAAUAUUGGACCAAUUGUGCACACAUGGUGCAUGCGUUAUGAGGCUAAGCACAAAUUUUUCAAGACUCAACUAAAAAGUUACAAAAACAUCACAAAGACUUUAGCUAAAAAGCAUCAGAGAUAUAUGGCCAUGUGUUGGGAAUCUUUUACCCAGUGCAGAUUAACAAUUGGUCCAGGAAAAAUGGUGCAGCUUCAAGAUUUAAAAGAAGGUCCAGAGUUUGCGGUCAAAUUAAACUCUGCAUUAUCAACAACUGUCUUGUCUGUGAGGUGGGUAAAGCACUAUGGCACUGAAUAUCGCCCUGACUUAUUAGUAUGUGUGGAGGUAACUGAUGAGAUGCCAGUAUUUUGUAAAAUUAAGACUAUAUUAGUGAAAGAUGAGCAGAUUUUACUCAGUGGCACUGCUGUUGAAACCAUUUGCUUUGACAAACAUUUUCAUUCAUUUAAAAUUGUGUUUAGGCCAAUUCAGACACUUAAGGUAUUCAGUGUUAAAGACUUGCUGUAUUAUAAAACAAUGGAUGUUCAAAUGGCAUAUGGAUCAGCAGAUUCUUCACUUUUUAUAGUUCCAUACUGCCAUCUAAUGAAGCUUUGA